UACGGAGGGUGCGAGCGUUGUCCGGAUUUAUUGGGUUUAAAGGGUGCGUAGGCGGCCUUAUAAGUCCGUGGUGAAAGCCCGCUGCUCAACAGCGGAACUGCCCUUGAUACUGUGAGGCUUGAGUACAGACGAGGUUGGCGGAAUGGACCGAGUAGCGGUGAAAUGCAUAGAUACGUUCCAGAACCCCGAUUGCGAAGGCAGCUGACUAGGCUGGUACUGACGCUGAGGCACGAAAGCGUGGGGAGCGAACAGG
This 253-nucleotide ribosomal RNA is filed under the name uncultured bacterium. Its description in RNAcentral is "partial 16S ribosomal RNA". It matches the Rfam family "Bacterial small subunit ribosomal RNA", at positions 524 to 776 of the family's 1533-position model. The record is from RNAcentral.